GAUGAACGCUGGCGGCGUGCUUAACACAUGCAAGUCGAACGGAGUGCCUUUGAAAGAGGAUUCGUCCAAUUGAUAAGGUUACUUAGUGGCGGACGGGUGAGUAACGCGUGAGGAACCUGCCUUGGAGUGGGGAAUAACACAGUGAAAAUUGUGCUAAUACCGCAUAAUGCAGUUGGGCCGCAUGGCUCUGACUGCCAAAGAUUUAUCGCUCUGAGAUGGCCCUCGCGUCCUGACUUAGCUAGUUGGUGGGGUAACGGCCCACCAAAGGCGACGAUCCAGUAGCCGGACUGAGAGGUUGGCCGGCCACAUU
This 310-nucleotide ribosomal RNA is filed under the name uncultured bacterium. Its description in RNAcentral is "bacterial SSU rRNA". It matches the Rfam family "Bacterial small subunit ribosomal RNA", at positions 28 to 314 of the family's 1533-position model. The record is from RNAcentral.